This 393-nucleotide ribosomal RNA is filed under the name uncultured bacterium. Its description in RNAcentral is "partial 16S ribosomal RNA". It matches the Rfam family "Bacterial small subunit ribosomal RNA", at positions 523 to 918 of the family's 1533-position model. The record is from RNAcentral.
AUACGGAGGAUGCAAGCGUUAUCCGGAUUUAUUGGGUUUAAAGGGUGCGUAGGCUGUUCGGAAAGUCAGGGGUGAAAGCCCGGCGCCUAACGCCGGAACUGCCUUUGAUACUUCCGAGCUGUAAUACGGAUGCCGCGGGAGGAAUGAGUAGUGUAGCGGUGAAAUGCAUAGAUAUUACUCAGAACACCGAUUGCGAAGGCAUCUCACGAAUCCGUCAUUGACGCUGAGGCACGAAAGCGUGGGGAUCAAACAGGAUUAGAUACCCUGGUAGUCCACGCAGUAAACGAUGAUGACUAACCGUCGGCGACACACAGUCGGUGGCCAAGCGAAAGCGAUAAGUCAUCCACCUGGGGAGUACGUUCGCAAGAAUGAAACUCAAAGGAAUUGACGGGG